GACGAACGCUGGCGGCGUGCUUAACACAUGCAAGUCGAACGAUGAAGCCCAGCUUGCUGGGUGGAUUAGUGGCGAACGGGUGAGUAACACGUGAGUAACCUGCCCUUGACUCUGGGAUAAGCACUGGAAACGGUGUCUAAUACCGGAUAUUUCAGCUGGCCGCAUGGUCUGGUUGUGGAAAGAAUUUUGGUCAAGGAUGGACUCGCGGCCUAUCAGGUAGUUGGUGAGGUAAUGGCUCACCAAGCCUACGACGGGUAGCCGGCCUGAGAGGGUGACCGGCCACACUGGGACUGAGACACGGCCCAGACUCCUACGGGAGGCAGCAGUGGGGAAUAUUGCACAAUGGGCGAAAGCCUGAUGCAGCAACGCCGCGUGAGGGACGACGGCCUUCGGGUUGUAAACCUCUUUUAGUAGGGAAGAAGCGAAAG
This 428-nucleotide ribosomal RNA is filed under the name Microbacteriaceae bacterium Ellin7075. RNAcentral's name for it is "bacterial SSU rRNA". It matches the Rfam family "Bacterial small subunit ribosomal RNA", at positions 28 to 456 of the family's 1533-position model. Lineage: Bacteria; Bacillati; Actinomycetota; Actinomycetes; Micrococcales; Microbacteriaceae. The record is from RNAcentral.